RNAcentral lists this ribosomal RNA (582 nucleotides) under uncultured fungus. RNAcentral's name for it is "SSU rRNA". It matches the Rfam family "Eukaryotic small subunit ribosomal RNA", at positions 84 to 669 of the family's 1831-position model. Lineage: Eukaryota; Fungi. The record is from RNAcentral.
AAACUGCGAAUGGCUCAUUAAAUCAGUUAUCGUUUAUUUGAUAGUACCUUACUACAUGGAUACCUGUGGUAAUUCUAGAGCUAAUACAUGCUGAAAACCCCGACUUCGGAAGGGGUGUAUUUAUUAGAUAAAAAACCAAUGCCCUUCGGGGCUCCUUGGUGAAUCAUAAUAACUUAACGAAUCGCAUGGCCUUGCGCCGGCGAUGGUUCAUUCAAAUUUCUGCCCUAUCAACUUUCGAUGGUAGGAUAGUGGCCUACCAUGGUGGCAACGGGUAACGGGGAAUUAGGGUUCGAUUCCGGAGAGGGAGCCUGAGAAACGGCUACCACAUCCAAGGAAGGCAGCAGGCGCGCAAAUUACCCAAUCCCGAUACGGGGAGGUAGUGACAAUAAAUACUGAUACGGGGCUCUUUUGGGUCUCGUAAUUGGAAUGAGAACAAUUUAAAUCCCUUAACGAGGAACAAUUGGAGGGCAAGUCUGGUGCCAGCAGCCGCGGUAAUUCCAGCUCCAAUAGCGUAUAUUAAAGUUGUUGCAGUUAAAAAGCUCGUAGUUGAACCUUGGGUCUGGCUGGGCCGGUCCGCCUCAC